UACGUAGGUGGCAAGCGUUGUCCGGAUUUACUGGGCGUAAAGAGCGCGCAGGCGGUCGUUCAAGUCGAGUGUGAAAGCCCCCGGCUCAACUGGGGAGGGUCACUCGAUACUGAUCGACUCGAAGGCAGAAGAGGGAAGCGGAAUUCCCGGUGUAGUGGUGAAAUGCGUAGAGAUCGGGAGGAACACCUGUGGCGAAGGCGGCCGACUGGGCCGACCCUGACGCUGAGGCGCGAAGGCGUGGGGAGCGAACGGG
This 253-nucleotide ribosomal RNA is filed under the name uncultured bacterium. Its description in RNAcentral is "partial 16S ribosomal RNA". It matches the Rfam family "Bacterial small subunit ribosomal RNA", at positions 524 to 776 of the family's 1533-position model. The record is from RNAcentral.